Molecule: ribosomal RNA, 253 nt
Filed under: uncultured bacterium
Lineage: Bacteria
Description: partial 16S ribosomal RNA
Rfam family: Bacterial small subunit ribosomal RNA
Source: RNAcentral
UACGUAGGGCGCGAGCGUUGUCCGGAUUUAUUGGGCGUAAAGAGCUCGUAGGCGGCUUGUCGCGUCGACCGUGAAAACUCGCAGCUCAACUGCGAGCCUGCGGUCGAUACGGGCAGGCUAGAGUUCGGUAGGGGAGACUGGAAUUCCUGGUGUAGCGGUGAAAUGCGCGGAUAUCAGGAGGAACACCGGUGGCGAAGGCGGGUCUCUGGGCCGAUACUGACGCUGAGGAGCGAAAGCGUGGGGAGCGAACAGG